Molecule: unclassified non-coding RNA, 222 nt
Filed under: uncultured Gammaproteobacteria bacterium
Lineage: Bacteria; Pseudomonadati; Pseudomonadota; Gammaproteobacteria
Description: contains 16S-23S intergenic spacer region
Source: RNAcentral
UCCGGUUUGUCACCGGCAGUCUCAUUAGAGUGCCCAACUGAAUGUAGCAACUAAUGACAAGGGUUGCGCUCGUUGCGGGACUUAACCCAACAUCUCACGACACGAGCUGACGACAGCCAUGCAGCACCUGUGUUCCCGUUCCCUUUCGGGCACAGCCCACUUUCGAGGGCCUCCAGGACAUGUCAAGGGUAGGUAAGGUGGGGAUGACGUCGUAUCUCACUG